Lingula anatina is the source of this 84-nucleotide non-coding RNA. The record is from Rfam. NCBI's taxonomy places the organism in Eukaryota, Metazoa, Brachiopoda, Lingulata, Lingulida, Lingulidae.
ACCAGGAUGGCCGAGUGGUUAAGGCGUUGGACUUAAGAUCCAAUGGACGUAUGUCCUCGUGGGUUCGAAACCCCACUUCUGGUA